GGCGGAAUGGAGCAGAGGCAGCUCACCGGGUUCAUGCCCGGAGGUCGCAGGUUCGAUCCCUGCUUCCGCGA
RNAcentral lists this transfer RNA (71 nucleotides) under Clostridium sp. AF46-12NS. RNAcentral's name for it is "tRNA-OTHER". It matches the Rfam family "tRNA". From Rfam's summary of the family: Transfer RNA (tRNA) molecules are approximately 80 nucleotides in length. The record is from RNAcentral. Lineage: Bacteria; Bacillati; Bacillota; Clostridia; Eubacteriales; Clostridiaceae. RNAcentral also lists the same sequence under 1 other name.